This 443-nucleotide ribosomal RNA is filed under the name uncultured bacterium. Its description in RNAcentral is "partial 16S ribosomal RNA". It matches the Rfam family "Bacterial small subunit ribosomal RNA", at positions 338 to 795 of the family's 1533-position model. The record is from RNAcentral.
CCUACGGGCGGCAGCAGUGGGGAAUAUUGGGCAAUGGGCGCAAGCCUGACCCAGCAACGCCGCGUGAAGGAAGAAGGCUUUCGGGUUGUAAACUUCUUUUCUCAGGGACGAAGAAAGUGACGGUACCUGAGGAAUAAGCCACGGCUAACUACGUGCCAGCAGCCGCGGUAAUACGUAGGUGGCAAGCGUUAUCCGGAUUUAUUGGGUGUAAAGGGCGUGUAGGCGGGAGCGCAAGUCAGAUGUGAAAACUCAGGGCUCAACCCUGAGCCUGCAUUUGAAACUGUGGUUCUUGAGUACUGGAGAGGCAGACGGAAUUCCUAGUGUAGCGGUGAAAUGCGUAGAUAUUAGGAGGAACACCAGUGGCGAAGGCGGUCUGCUGGACAGCAACUGACGCUGAGGCGCGAAAGCGUGGGGAGCAAACAGGAUUAGAUACCCCUGUAGUC